Molecule: ribosomal RNA, 451 nt
Filed under: uncultured bacterium
Lineage: Bacteria
Description: bacterial SSU rRNA
Rfam family: Bacterial small subunit ribosomal RNA
Source: RNAcentral
UACGGGAGGCAGCAGUGGGGAAUAUUGCACAAUGGGCGCAAGCCUGAUGCAGCCAUGCCGCGUGUAUGAAAAAGGCCUUCGGGUUGUAAAGUACUUUCAGUCGUGAGGAAGGUGUUAAGGUUAAUAACCUUAGCAAUUGACGUUAGCGACAGAAGAAGCACCGGCUAACUCCGUGCCAGCAGCCGCGGUAAUACGGAGGGUGCGAGCGUUAAUCGGAAUUACUGGGCGUAAAGGGCACGCAGGCGGUUAAUUAAGUUGGAUGUGAAAUCCCCGGGCUUAACCUGGGAAUGGCAUUCAAGACUGGUUAGCUAGAGUCUUGUAGAGGGGGUAGAAUUCCAUGUGUAGCGGUGAAAUGCGUAGAGAUGUGGAGGAAUACCGGUGGCGAAGGCGGCCCCUGGACAAAGACUGACGCUCAUGUGCGAAAGCGUGGGGAGCAAACGAGGGAUUAGAU